This 63-nucleotide transfer RNA is filed under the name Lebbeus groenlandicus. Its description in RNAcentral is "tRNA-Ala". The record is from RNAcentral. Lineage: Eukaryota; Metazoa; Arthropoda; Malacostraca; Decapoda; Hippolytidae.
GAAGCUAUAGUCAACAAUGAUUCCUGAUUUGCAAUUAGGAGGUGCUCUAUUGAGCUGGCUUCA